GGGGGCGAAAUAGGAUCGACGUACCUAAUAAAAAGAUUGCUUUUACUCGGGAUGAUUCCGCCGAUGGCUUUUGCCAUAUGGGUCAAAACAAAGAAACGCAAACGAUAAUAAUCGUUCUGUAGAUUUAGCUCUAGCAGCUUAAUCCUACGCGGCUGGGGGUUUGCCGGGCAACAGAAAAACCCCAUA
This 186-nucleotide transfer-messenger RNA is filed under the name Rickettsia australis str. Cutlack. RNAcentral describes it as "transfer-messenger RNA Ricke_austr_Cutlac". It matches the Rfam family "Alphaproteobacteria transfer-messenger RNA", at positions 148 to 355 of the family's 355-position model. Rfam says of the family: Bacterial tmRNA, also known as 10Sa RNA or SsrA, is named for its dual tRNA and mRNA-like properties. RNAcentral also lists the same sequence under 1 other name. The record is from RNAcentral. Lineage: Bacteria; Pseudomonadati; Pseudomonadota; Alphaproteobacteria; Rickettsiales; Rickettsiaceae.